UACGAAGGGGGCUAGCGUUGUUCGGAGUUACUGGGCGUAAAGGGCGCGUAGGCGGCCCUCCAAGUCGGGUGUGAAAGCCCACGGCUCAACCGUGGAAUUGCACUCGAUACUGGGGGGCUUGAGGAUGGGAGAGGAUGGUGGAAUUCCCAGUGUAGAGGUGAAAUGCUUAGAUAUCGGGAGGAACACCUGUGGCGAAGGCGGCCAUCUGGACAACUACUGACACUGAGACGCGAAAGCGUGGGUAGCAAACAGG
RNAcentral lists this ribosomal RNA (253 nucleotides) under uncultured bacterium. RNAcentral describes it as "partial 16S ribosomal RNA". It matches the Rfam family "Bacterial small subunit ribosomal RNA", at positions 524 to 776 of the family's 1533-position model. The record is from RNAcentral.